ACUAAGCGGAGGAAAAGAAACUAACUAGGAUGGCCUCAGUAACAGCGAGUGAAGCGGCCAGAGCCCAAGAUGGUAAUCUCCACGCUGCGCGUGGCGAAUUGUAAUCUAGAGAGUUCAUGCUCAAUGUGAGGCGGCGCAGAAGCUCCUGGAAUGGAGCGCCAUAGAGGGUGAUAGUCCCGUACGUGGUGCCGCCUCUAAACGAGCUGGGCUUCGAAGAGUCGGGUUGUUUUGUAUUGCAGCCCUAAGUGGGAGAUAAACUUCUUCUAAGGCUAAAUAUAUGUGGGAAACCGAUAGCGAACAAGUACUGUGAAGGAAAGAUGAAAAGCACUUUGGAAAGAGAGUCAAAAGACCUGAAACCGUUGAGGAGGAAGCGGUAGAGAUGAAUUCUACGGCAGUUAGCUGAAAACUCAGUCAAAGCAUCAUGAGUGGAGGUACGUCAAAGGCCUUGCGGAGUGCAUGUGGAAACUGAUAAUUUGCUGAAUGUCGUGAGGCCGGAUGGGGUGACGUGAUCACAAAGGCCUAGCAGGCUUGGGGCUUUCGGGCUCAGCCUGUUGGUGCUGGUGACUGCGUGGCCUGAGGGUGCCUUGUGCGAUCCGGUCAAAAUGGUCUUUACCGACUCGUCUGAA
RNAcentral lists this ribosomal RNA (626 nucleotides) under Strombidium sp. Its description in RNAcentral is "partial large subunit ribosomal RNA". It matches the Rfam family "Eukaryotic large subunit ribosomal RNA", at positions 45 to 657 of the family's 3401-position model. The record is from RNAcentral. Lineage: Eukaryota; Ciliophora; Spirotrichea; Strombidiidae.